Molecule: transfer RNA, 76 nt
Filed under: Nevskiaceae bacterium
Lineage: Bacteria; Pseudomonadati; Pseudomonadota; Gammaproteobacteria; Nevskiales; Nevskiaceae
Description: tRNA-Met
Rfam family: tRNA
About the family: Transfer RNA (tRNA) molecules are approximately 80 nucleotides in length. Their secondary structure includes four short double-helical elements and three loops (D, anti-codon, and T loops).
Source: RNAcentral
GGUGCCGUAGCUUAGACGGCAGAGCGCCGGCCUCAUAAGCCGGGAGGCGCUGGAUCGUAUCCAGCCGGCACCACCA